CCGGUACUAUAGUCUCGUUUUUGAUCUUAGGGUAUUUAAAUCAACGAUCCACACCGUUAAAACUAAUUUAGGAUAUUUAAAAUUUUUAGAAAUAAAAUAUUAUAUUUUUUUGUCAUAGUUUACUUUAUGAUCAAACCAUGUCAAAAUUAUCAAUUUUCAAUGACUAGUAUGGCGAGUUUGGAGUUUAACGGUGUAGAAGAAUCUAAAUUUCUUCAAAUUUUGAUAGAAAAUACUUUAAACUAUCUAAAUUAAGGUUAACAUUAUUGAUCUUGAAUUUAAAAGUCCUAUACUCAAAUUUUAAAGAUUAUUCAAUUUUCACUGUCCAUUUUGACAUAAUUUAUUUACUAAGUAAAUAAUGUCGAAAAAAACUAAAAUUUUAUUUCUAAGAACUUCAUAUACCCUAAAUUAUAUUUAACUGUUUUGAACACCAUAAGAUUGAAAACAAGGCUAUAGUACCAAAGCUCUGGUACUAUAGAUAGUAUAGUAGGCUAAUUCUAUAUAU
This 502-nucleotide long non-coding RNA is filed under the name Ananas comosus (pineapple). Its description in RNAcentral is "long non-coding RNA (ACOM_LNC040851)". The record is from RNAcentral. Lineage: Eukaryota; Viridiplantae; Streptophyta; Magnoliopsida; Poales; Bromeliaceae.